This 377-nucleotide ribosomal RNA is filed under the name uncultured bacterium. RNAcentral describes it as "bacterial SSU rRNA". It matches the Rfam family "Bacterial small subunit ribosomal RNA", at positions 29 to 402 of the family's 1533-position model. The record is from RNAcentral.
AGUGAACGCUGGCGGCAGGCCUAACACAUGCAAGUCGAACGGCAGCACGGCAGUAGCAAUACUGUGGGUGGCGAGUGGCGGACGGGUGAGGAAUACAUCGGGAUCUACCCUGUUGUGGGGGAUAACGUAGGGAAACUUACGCUAAUACCGCAUAAGAACUGAGGUUGAAAGCGGCGGACCGCAAGGCGUCGCGCGAUUGGAUGAACCGAUGUCCGAUUAGCUAGUUGGCGGGGUAAAGGCCCACCAAGGCGACGAUCGGUAGCUGGUCUGAGAGGACGACCAGCCACACUGGAACUGAGACACGGUCCAGACUCCUACGGAGGCAGCAGUGGGGAAUAUUGGACAAUGGGCGCAAGCCUGAUCCAGCCAUGCCGCGU